RNAcentral lists this transfer RNA (37 nucleotides) under Crocidura palawanensis (Palawan shrew). RNAcentral's name for it is "partial tRNA-Thr". Lineage: Eukaryota; Metazoa; Chordata; Mammalia; Eulipotyphla; Soricidae. The record is from RNAcentral.
AUAGAGCGUUAGUAGUAUAACCAAUACACUGGUCUUG